This is an RNA transcript of Carassius carassius (crucian carp), 2389 nucleotides long. It is a transcript of the gene named active breakpoint cluster region-related protein-like, with no coding region annotated. The transcript has 8 exons. The record is from RefSeq and is a predicted model, not a curated record. Lineage: Eukaryota; Metazoa; Chordata; Actinopteri; Cypriniformes; Cyprinidae.
CAUCAUACCUAAUAUUGUAUAUAUUUGUAAAAAACUUUUUGUACAGGCAUUUUAGUAAAUUUAUGUUCAUGCAGACGGCCCCUAGGUCCCCACGCACCAUCCAGUCCAAAGUUCUGAUCCUGACGUCACUGUAACAUCGACCAUCUGUGCUCCACGCUGUGUUCAGUGGUAACGGACCGUCAAUGUGUUUUUUAAUUCAGCUAUGCUGCCAGAUCCUGAAGGCAAACUACAGAAAAGCCAGUUGCCCUGGUAAAGCAGGAGAUCUGACCAUGCAGGUUCUGGAGCUUUCUGAGGGACCUUUUUGGGCUAAUGAAGCAGAUGAUGAACUUUCAGAGGAACACAGUGACGGCGUGCCCUCGGAGACCGUCUCAGCCUUAUGCACCGGGUGUAGGACAGACGUGCUGUCUGGCCACACAACCAGGACAAGUACUGGCCCACGGACCUGAAGGACCUCAGCCAAACUGCCAUGCUUUAGCUCAGCCAGCCACACAGCAGAAAGAGGAGGCGCACCAGCCCAUGUGCUUAAAGCACUACUGGUCCCAGGAGAUAGCAGAGCUUCCUCGACCCAUACAGCAUCCAGGUGAGUCUUUAGAAAUGAAACAAUUCAUUCUAACACAAUGUCUGGUUUUCAGUGAGUCGGAGAAGAUAGUGUCUGAAAAGAAGCCCGCAGGAACGGUGUCUCCUCCAACAGGAAGUCCCACUCCAGCAGCUCUGCCCUCAUCAGUGCAACACAACACAAUGGCCAGACACCUGGGUGUGGACACUUCCAUGCUCCGUAGAGCCAUCUGGAACUAUAUUCAGGGCAGGUUUGGGAUUCGGAACCUUUUAAAAUGCUGAAGAUGUCUCCGAGACUCCCCCGGGACCUUCAAAUAAGCACCAGCGGGAGAUCAUUUGUUUUUGCAUCUCAACAGGUCCAAGGCCAGGUGAAUCAUUAAAAAAAAGAAACACACACUUCCACUUGUAUGUACGGCAUAAGAUAUGAUGACUACGGCUAAAGUGGGGAAUAAUAAUCGAUACAGAUUUAGAUCGUAAAAUAAUUUCUUGCAUCUCUAUAAGAAGCAGAGGUCACAGACUUGUUUUUGUUUUCCAGCGGUUUAACAUACGCUUCUGGCAUUUGUGCGCUUAGAUGCUGGACCAGAGGAGGACAGACAUGCUGUCUCUCCACUACUCACAGUUUGCAUUCAUGCUGUCAAUGUACCAGACCAGGCAAUCUGAACCAGUUGGUCUGAAAACGUUGUAUCCGGAGUGUAAAAGGGAUCAAGAAGUAUAAGGAAAAAUCCACAACAAUACAGCCCCUAUUUGUCAGAAGGGAGUUGGUGAAGUUGAUGGUCGAUCAGUAGCUGUGGUUGUGGCCCCCACGCACCAUCCAGUUUAAUGUUCUGAUACUGACGCCACUUUGUAACAUCGAUCAUCUGUGCUCAACCCUAUGCUCGAUGGUGACGGGCCGUCACUGUGUUUUUUUUAUGAAGGUCUGUCGGAAAGGGCGUCUUGAGAUGCUUAAAGGGUAAACUAAUUCCUAUGAUCCAGGAAAGCCGUUCACCCAGGGAAACUAGGAAUGAUUUUGGACAAAGCAUUUAUGUGGCUCUUUGCAUCAACUCCAGUUGCCCAGAGCCACAGAAGAAGAGGAGGCGCACAAGUCCAUGUGGUGAAAGCGCUACUGGUCUCAGUAGAGAGCAGUGACCCGUCCUGCACCACCAUGUAAACAGUGGACCAGGUGAGUCAUCAAAAAUGCAACAAUUCCAUUUGUAUGUACAGGAUAAGAAAUGAUCACAAUGGCUACAGUGAAAAAAAUCAACAUAAUCUUAAAAGAUGGGCCGGCCUUUAAACUGAUGUGCCACAGGAGGAAACCUUUCAUCGCCAAUGUGAUCAUGUCUGAUACAAAAACUUUUUCGACUUUUCAUAAUCUUCAUCUACAUCUCGACCUGAGGAAAGCAAGAAGGCCAAGCUGAGCAUCAGUAGCGAUAAGGAGAUAUAUAUCGUGCAGGUAAGGAAAGGUAAGAAAUGUUAAAAUACAGUUUGGAACUCAGUGAUGUUAUGCUUCCAUGUGACGUAGUCAAAUACCGACAGAAAAUGAGUCUCUCGGCUAAAACAAGUCUGGCUUUUCACGUCCCAGUCCAAUCAGAACCCGUGUAGGUGUGUAUACAACAGCCAUGCAAAUUAAAACAAGGCAACAAGGAAUGGUAAAAGAUGGAUGUGUCAGAUUUUACUUCUAUAUCACAAAGCUAUGGAAUGUUUUUUUUUUUGAGUUCUUAAUUUUUGACAUGUAGUUAAUUUUCCUUUUUGCAGCAUCCCCUGCUGACUAUUUUCAUUUUUAUUGUUACUAUUAUCUGUUUAGUUGUUUAUUAGUAUUGAGUAAUUGUUUAAGGUUAUAUGGUUGACAUGUUCCUUU